RNAcentral lists this ribosomal RNA (623 nucleotides) under Latilactobacillus curvatus. RNAcentral's name for it is "bacterial SSU rRNA". It matches the Rfam family "Bacterial small subunit ribosomal RNA", at positions 55 to 665 of the family's 1533-position model. Lineage: Bacteria; Bacillati; Bacillota; Bacilli; Lactobacillales; Lactobacillaceae. The record is from RNAcentral.
AUUGAAGAAGCUUGCUUCUGAUUGAUAACAUUUGAGUGAGUGGCGGACGGGUGAGUAACACGUGGGUAACCUGCCCUAAAGUGGGGGAUAACAUUUGGAAACAGAUGCUAAUACCGCAUAAAACCUAGCACCGCAUGGUGCAAGGUUGAAAGAUGGUUUCGGCUAUCACUUUAGGAUGGACCCGCGGUGCAUUAGUUAGUUGGUGAGGUAAAGGCUCACCAAGACCGUGAUGCAUAGCCGACCUGAGAGGGUAAUCGGCCACACUGGGACUGAGACACGGCCCAGACUCCUACGGGAGGCAGCAGUAGGGAAUCUUCCACAAUGGACGAAAGUCUGAUGGAGCAACGCCGCGUGAGUGAAGAAGGUUUUCGGAUCGUAAAACUCUGUUGUUGGAGAAGAACGUAUUUGAUAGUAACUGAUCAGGUAGUGACGGUAUCCAACCAGAAAGCCACGGCUAACUACGUGCCAGCAGCCGCGGUAAUACGUAGGUGGCAAGCGUUGUCCGGAUUUAUUGGGCGUAAAGCGAGCGCAGGCGGUUUCUUAAGUCUGAUGUGAAAGCCUUCGGCUCAACCGAAGAAGUGCAUCGGAAACUGGGAAACUUGAGUGCAGAAGAGGACAGUGGA